Molecule: ribosomal RNA, 510 nt
Filed under: uncultured bacterium
Lineage: Bacteria
Description: partial 16S ribosomal RNA
Rfam family: Bacterial small subunit ribosomal RNA
Source: RNAcentral
GACGAACGCUGGCGGCGUGCUUAACACAUGCAAGUCGAACGAAGAGCGAUGGAAGCUUGCUUCUAUCAAUCUUAGUGGCGAACGGGUGAGUAACGCGUAAUCAACCUGCCCUUCAGAGGGGGACAACAGUUGGAAACGACUGCUAAUACCGCAUACGAUCCAAUCUCGGCAUCGGGACUGGAUGAAAGGUGGCCUCUAUUUAUAAGCUAUCACUGAAGGAGGGGAUUGCGUCUGAUUAGCUAGUUGGAGGGGUAGCGGCCCACCAAGGCGAUGAUCAGUAGCCGGUCUGAGAGGAUGAACGGCCACAUUGGGACUGAGACACGGCCCAGACUCCUACGGGAGGCAGCAGUGGGGAAUCUUCCGCAAUGGACGAAAGUCUGACGGAGCAACGCCGCGUGAGUGAUGACGGCCUUCGGGUUGUAAAGCUCUGUUAAUCGGGACGAAUGGUUCUUGUGCGAAUAGUGCGAGGAUUUGACGGUACCGGAAUAGAAAGCCACGGCUAACUACGUG